This is a long non-coding RNA of Periophthalmus magnuspinnatus, 288 nucleotides long. RefSeq lists it as uncharacterized. Lineage: Eukaryota; Metazoa; Chordata; Actinopteri; Gobiiformes; Gobiidae. The record is from RefSeq and is a predicted model, not a curated record. The transcript is spliced from 3 exons.
GCGGUAUCCCCAUGCGGAAGUGUGACGUCAGUGCAGGAAACAAACAGCAGAUGCACCGGUGUGUAGAUGGAGGAAUGUUAGCGCGGAGAACGGCUAUCCCACUGUGACCGCGUCGUGUUACGGCUUUAAUCAAAGGAACUGAACUACAGCACCCGAGAGAAUGAAGUUCACAUGUGACCAGUGUGGAAAGAUGUGGCCAUCUGCUUCCAGACUCAAAGUUCACUACAGAACUCACACAGGAGAGAAGCCAUUUAAAUGUGACCAGUGUGGGAAGGAAUUUCAACAUUC